This 1041-nucleotide long non-coding RNA is filed under the name Malus domestica (apple). RNAcentral describes it as "long non-coding RNA (MDOM_LNC019338)". Lineage: Eukaryota; Viridiplantae; Streptophyta; Magnoliopsida; Rosales; Rosaceae. The record is from RNAcentral.
AAUAGGAGAACGAGACUGUUUAUGUCGAUAGGUCAUUUGUCUGUUAGUGUUCGUUUUGUCAUUUACAUGAACACAAUAGCCUAUCCAGACAAUGAGGAAGCUAAUGAUUUCAAUCGUACCACGAAAGGUCGAAUUUAUUGUUAUUUAAGUUGCAUUUUGUCUACUUAUUCGUUUUAAAGUCUACUGCAUUCGUCUUCAUUUUUUUUCUUCACCAAAGCCGGUAUUCCACACCACGAAUGGUAGGACUAAUCACCAGUAGGGCUCAAAAAGGCCGAAGGAAUUUUAAGCCACACAUGUCCUUCCAAAAUUUUCAACCAGAAAAUCACCUGUGUUUUUUCCAGCUUCGUGCUUCAAACCCAAAAUCAGAGACCAUAUCUGACUUGGGUUUCUACCGCAUUUUCACUGAAACACUUGCAAUAAUUGCAAUCAUCUUCAUUGUUAAGUACAACAAAGGGUGGCAGUAAUGGCUUCAUCUGCAAGAUACAUUUGUAUUACUCACAAAGUGGCUUGCCAAUCGUACAUGGUUUACUCACCAAAGUUUGGUAAAUAAGUGGCUUGCCAAUCGUACGUGGUCUAUGCACCAAAAUUUGGUGAAUGAUUGUGGUUGCUCUCCCUUAAAGAUAUUCAAAGGAGUCCAAUAGGGUUUUGAUUUUUUUGCCUUAUGAGGGUAGAAAUGUCAAUUUGGCUAAUGUUUUUAAUCCAACUCGCUCUAGCAAAUAUGGCUCUAUCCAUAAAAGGUACUAUCCAUAAAAGGUAAUCAACUAACAUACUACUUAAUUUAAAAAGGAAAACUAAUGAAAAAAGUUUGAAAACUUUGAGUUUUAACGAUAAGGACAAAAUAAGGGUAAAGCGAAUAAUACCAAGAUUGACUUUUUAGUGUAAAAAUGUGAUUUAUCGUUAAAGUGAACAGUACCAAGAGUUUUUCGUUAAAGUUUCCUAAUUUAAAAUCGCUAUAUAUAUAUUUGCUAUCCGUUACAACUUUCCCUUGUCUCUCCAUGUUGUCAAACCGUUGCAUAAAGAUUGCAUGCAUGUUUUUUAUUU